GGAACCUGGUUGAUCCUGCCAGUAGUCAUACGCUCGUCUCAAAGAUUAAGCCAUGCAUGUCUAAGUAUAAACAACUCUAUACUGUGAAACUGCGAAUGGCUCAUUAUAUCAGUUAUAGUUUAUUUGAUAGAUCCUCACUACUUGGAUAACCGUAGUAAUUCUAGAGCUAAUACAUGCAUGAAAUCCCAACUGCC
Molecule: ribosomal RNA, 194 nt
Filed under: uncultured eukaryote
Lineage: Eukaryota
Description: partial 18S ribosomal RNA
Rfam family: Eukaryotic small subunit ribosomal RNA
Source: RNAcentral